UACGUAGGGUGCAGGCGUUAUUCGGAAUUACUGGGCGUAAAGCGCACGUAGGCGGCUAUUUAAGUCAGGGGUGAAAUCCCAGAGCUCAACUCUGGAACUGCCUUUGAUACUGGGUAUCUUGAGUAUGGAAGAGGUAAGUGGAAUUGCGAGUGUAGAGGUGAAAUUCGUAGAUAUUCGCAGGAACACCAGUGGCGAAGGCGGCUUACUGGUCCAUUACUGACGCUGAGGUGCGAAAGCGUGGGGAGCAAACAGG
This 253-nucleotide ribosomal RNA is filed under the name uncultured bacterium. RNAcentral's name for it is "partial 16S ribosomal RNA". It matches the Rfam family "Bacterial small subunit ribosomal RNA", at positions 524 to 776 of the family's 1533-position model. The record is from RNAcentral.